AAAAGUACUUUGAAAAGAGAGUGCAAGAGAACGUGAAACCGAAGUAAUGGAAGCGAAUGGAGUUGACGUAUCUGAUGCGUAUUCACUUGCCGCGCUGCGGGAUUGCGUGCGUUGGUCCUGUGGGCCGGCGUCGUAGUGCUCCAGUGGCGUGGUGGGGCAUUUGCGUAUGGAGUGCGGUGGAUCGCGCGGUGGCGAGGGUUGAGUGCGCGUCGAGAGGAUUGCUCCUUCGGGGGCAAAACCCGCGGUGUGUUGCUCUGGCCUUUUGUUGCUGCGUGUUGUUGUGGGGGUGCUUUAUGCGUGCUGUCGGGCCGAGUUCGCUUGGCGUACUCGCUACACAUGUGUGGCUUGUGCGUCGGUGGGUUCGGUGUGGUGGCGUGCACGGCGACCCUUCCGCUGUAUAGUCAAUGACCCAUUCGACCCGUCUUGAAACACGGACCAAGGAGUUUAUGGUAUGCGCGAGUCAUUGGGCCUUACGAAACCCAUAGGCGUAAUGAAAGUGAGACUCGUUUGAGUUGUAAUGUGAGCGGUGGGCGUAGACGUACUUGUUGCGGAUGCGGUAGCCGCGCAACAUUGCCCCGUUUCGUGAACUUGUUCUGUUGCGGAGGUUGAGCGUAUGCUGUGAGACCCGAAAGAUGGUGAACUAUGCCUGAACAGGAUGAAGUCAGAGGAAACUCUGAUGGAAGUCCGAAGCGGUUCUGACGUGCAAAUCGAUCGUCUGAUUUUGGUAUAGGGGCGCAAGACUAAUCGAACCAUC
This 754-nucleotide ribosomal RNA is filed under the name Bursaphelenchus sp. 1 NK-2021. RNAcentral's name for it is "partial 28S ribosomal RNA". It matches the Rfam family "Eukaryotic large subunit ribosomal RNA", at positions 367 to 944 of the family's 3401-position model. The record is from RNAcentral. Lineage: Eukaryota; Metazoa; Nematoda; Chromadorea; Rhabditida; Aphelenchoididae.